This is a non-coding RNA of Pimephales promelas (fathead minnow), 330 nucleotides long. NCBI's taxonomy places the organism in Eukaryota, Metazoa, Chordata, Actinopteri, Cypriniformes, Leuciscidae. The record is from RefSeq and is a predicted model, not a curated record.
UGGCGAAUGCUUCAGAGUAUCUUCUCUAAUCACCUUUCCAUCAAUAUAACCUGGUCUGUUGUAGGUGAUAAAGCAUGUUUUAGAGACAUGUUCCUGAAGACCAUUGUUCAAAGAGCCAUCCGAAAGAACCCGGCGACCCAGGAUGCCACUGAUGAGGCGAUCCAGGUUAACGUUACACAUCACCUGAAAGGAGCAUCUGACCUUGCAGAUGGAAAAAGGCACCGCUGAGUGGGACCCACAGCCGACCCCUUAAACCUAGGCUGACUACUGACACCCCAGCAUCACUUGACAACUGGAACCCUUUCUUUAUCCUGCAGACAGUAACUUCAA